GUGCAAUCUACUUUCAGUCCCGUGUGACGGCACAACCAAGCAUACAGUAGGAAGUCAACCCAGUAAAGGUGCAAUCUACUUUCAGUCCCGUGUGACGGCACAACCAAGCAUACAGUAGGAAGUCAACCCAGUACAGGUGCAAUCUACUUUCAGUCCCGUGUGACGGCACAACCAAGCAUACAGUAGGAAGUCAACCCAGUACAGGUGCAAUCUACUUUCAGUCUCGUGUGACGGCACAACCAAGCAUACAGUAGGAAGUCAACCCAGUAAAGGUGCAAUCUACUUUCAGUCCCGUGUGACGGCACAACCAAGCAUACAGUAGGAAGUCAACCCAGUAAAGGUGCAAUCUACUUUCAGUCCCGUGUGACGGCACAACCAAGCAUACAGUAGGAAGUCAACCCAGUAAAGGUGCAAUCUACUUUCAGUCCCGUGUGACGGCACAACCAAGCAUACAGUAGGAAGUCAAC
Molecule: long non-coding RNA, 467 nt
Organism: Oncorhynchus tshawytscha (Chinook salmon)
Lineage: Eukaryota; Metazoa; Chordata; Actinopteri; Salmoniformes; Salmonidae
Source: Ensembl